Mesoplodon densirostris (Blainville's beaked whale) is the source of this 3454-nucleotide long non-coding RNA. RefSeq lists it as uncharacterized. The record is from RefSeq and is a predicted model, not a curated record. The transcript has 5 exons. NCBI's taxonomy places the organism in Eukaryota, Metazoa, Chordata, Mammalia, Artiodactyla, Ziphiidae.
UGGAAAAGGAACUAGGAUUCGGAGUAUGUUUGGCUUUGGAUCCGCCCCAGCCUCCACACGUUCAAGUCAUUAUUUCUGAGGAUCUCUGGAGCUGCCAUGUUGAGAACAGUGUGAAGGGGCCAACAGCAUAAGCUGGGAGAGACAGGAGGCUACUGCAAUAAUCCAGGCUAGAGGUGAUGGUGGCUUGGACCAGAAGGGGCUCGGAUUCUGGAUGUAUUCUGAAGGCAGAGUCAGCUGCACUUACUGAUUGGAUAAGCGUGAGAGGUCUUGAUUGUAUAAAAAGUACAAGUGACUUCAGAUUUGAUGAAUCCUGAGUGGCAUGGAGGGACAAGGAAAUAUUGUAUCUGAAGAAGCCGGAUGGUUGGUUGUGUUCAAAUUGUAAAGCAAUUGCCAGAACUGGAGGAGUCUUCGGGGAUCUUACAGUUGAAGCCCUUUGUUUCUGUGAGUGAGAGAGGAAAGGCCAUAUGAGGACACAGCAAGGAGGUGGUGGUUGCCUGCAAGCCAGGAAGAGAGCUCUCACCAGAAACUGACCAUGCUGGCACCCUGACCUUGGACUUAACCAGCCAACAAAACUUUUUUUUCAGAUAAGCCGCCAGAAGAUCCUCCUCACUCUGCUUGGAGUUACUUGCAGUGCUUUGGAAGCAGGACAUGGAUCCCAGUGAAAUACACCGUGCUGAAAACACUGUUCAAGUCUGGCCCUCGACACUGCCCUCCACAUUCCAACAGCCACGUUGGCUCACCAGGAAGAGAAGCUGGAGGUGUUUUGACUGACUCAGUGCUGAAAUCAGGCGAGCGGAGACAGUGAUUCGAGAGAGAGCCUCUUUCUUUGGUGCUCUUGGGAGCACAGCAGCUGUGCUCACUAAGAAAGGUAGAAAUCAAAGAAUCUUAGAAUCCUCGGGGUGGAAGGGACAUUAAGGACCCUCAGUUCAGACCUCCAUUCCGUGAAGGAAGCUGGCCAGAAAGUUGCCAGCUCUUUGGAUGAGAACUCCCUGCUUAUAAAGGCAGCCCAGUCCACGGCUUAGUUGGGUCCUGAUUGGAAUCUCUCAAGGCUGCACUUAACAUUCCUUUCUGGAGCUUGGGGUUUAUUUUAGUCAACUCAGGCUGCUAUAACAACAUACCGUAGACUGGGUGGCUUAUAAACAACAGGAAUGGAUUUCUCACAGUUCUGGAGGCUGGAAAGUCCAAUAUCAAGGUGCCAGCAGAUUCGGUGUCUCAUGAGAUCCCUCUUCCUGGUUCAUAGAUGCUGUAUUACCGCCAUGUCCUCACAUGGUGAAAGGGGUGAGGGAGCUCUCUGGGGUCUCUUUUAUAAGGGCACUAAUCCCAUUCAUGAGGGCUCCACCCUCAUGAACUAAUUACCUCCUAAAGGCUCCACCCCCAAAUACCAUACCAUUGGGGAUUAAGAUUAUAACAUGUGAAUUUGGGGGUGGGGCAUUGCAGGAUCCUUUCCCAAGAUCAUGUGGUUAUUGGCUGAAUCCAGUUCCUUGAAGUUGUAGGGCUGAAGUCCCUGCUUUCCUGCUGUCUGUCAGCCUGGGGCUGAUCUCAGGUCCUAGAAGCCACUACAAUUUCUUGCCAUGUGACCCUCUCACAACAUGGCAGCUCAUUUCUUGAAACCCAGCAGGGGAACUUCUUGAUCCAAGAUGCUAAGAUGGAGUCUUGUAUAAUGUAAUGUGAUCAUGGAGUGACUAUCCCAUCACCCUUGCCAUAUUCUCUUGGCUAUAUGCAGGUCACAGAUUCCACUUGUACUCAAGAAGAGGGGGUUAUACUAAGGCACGACUAAUUGAGGGUCACCUUAAUGUGUGUCUGCCUCACAGAUACGUGAUUAAGGUUUACAUUUUUUUUUAAAUAAGAAAGACUUUGGUAUAUCAUAUUCCAAAACAAAAUCUGUUGGGUAGUGCUGAGUUUCAAACAUCAGAGUUAACGAAUUUUAAUUUCAGCAGGGCCAAGGAGCUAGUAAGGUAGAAGUCAUAGUUAUAAAUCAUAGAUAUAGGAUAUAGAUGGAGAAGUCAGAGGUAUAAGACAUAAGAGUUCAGAACAAGUAAGAGCUGAGAUUGAUGGGCAAGUAAAAGAGGAUGGUGAUGUGGAUUUUCUCAAAUAGCUGUUCAGAUUCCUGUCUGUAUCAGUUAUCCGUUGACAUAUAACAAACUUCCCCAAACUUUGUGACCUAAAGUAGCCACCAAUUACUAUUGCUCCCGACUCUACGCUUCAGCUGGGUAGUUCUGGUUUCAGCAGUCUUCCUCAUCUGCCGGCAAUCAGCUGAAGGUCACUAGGUGGAGGUUGGCUGGUGUUUCUUGGUUUUCUUCCACAGGGUCUCCCAUCCUCCAGCAGGCUAGCCUGGGCUUGUUCACAUAGCAGUCACGGGUUUCCCAAGGGAGAGCACAGGUGUGCAAGGGCUCCUGAGGUCUUGACUCGGAACUGGUAACCCAUUGCUCUCACCACAUUCCAUUGACCUGAGCAAGUCAUGAGGCUGGUCCAGAUAAAAAGCACAGUGAAACAGAUUCCCUUCUUUUGAUGGGAAGAGCCUCAAAGUGAUGCCGGAAAGUAGCCAGAUUCAGGGAAGAGUGAAGAACUUGCGUGGCUAUUUUUGCAGUUGACCACGAUGACUCAUGCAUAUGUGUGUGGUUGAAGUUGGCUGUCUAUGUAGGGAACAUGGGGCAGGAAGAAAAGCUAGAUAAUUGAAAAAAGUUAAGGUUGUACAACACCUCAUUAAAUAAAAGUUAACUUGCUGCAAGUGUUAUCAAUGCUUCUCCUCCAGUCUUCUCUAAAUUCCUGGAACCAAUCUGGGAAGGACAGAGAGACAUACAGUCAGGUUUCACCUACCCACGCUUGCCUGAUGGACUUUACAGGAUGCCUGUGAUGAGGGGAUUAGCCUCCAGGACACAGGUGCUCAUCGAAGUCUGGGGACUAGUGCAGGCUGGUGGGGAGAUGAGACACUCUUAAGUAGUCAGCAAGUUGAGAUAGCAGGGCAGGAGAGGACCCAGAGAUUCAAACUCAGGGUUGGAAACUAGAUAAUUAGGUAAGAUGACAUUUGAAUAGGUCGAAGUCUGGAUUUUUGUAAGCACCAAGCAACCGCCAUAUUGUUUUUCCUAUAUGUGACCUGUAGCAUUUUGCUGUGCUGGGGACACCUGCUGGGGAUCCAGUGUGAGCCUAAAUAAUAACUUGGCAUCUCAGGACUUUUAAAAGGCAUAUUAAGUUCUUAAUAGAGCGCCUGACCCAUAGUCAGCUCUCAACAAAUGAUUUGCCCUUAUGCUAUUAUUACUAUGUUUGUUUAGCUACAACUUUGCAUAUUGGAUGUUUUUGGCUUUCAUCCCUCUCUGUAUCAAGAUGCUCUGUCCCCGUGAGCACUGCUGUCAGUCAGGUGAGUGGGAACCCAGCUUGAGGAAACAGCUGGGAGGGGGUGGAAUGGAGGUGGCGGAAUACGAACACAUUCUGUAUCCUUCCUAAAAAUGGCUCUCAU